Mugil cephalus (flathead mullet) is the source of this 1102-nucleotide long non-coding RNA. RefSeq lists it as uncharacterized. The transcript has 3 exons. Lineage: Eukaryota; Metazoa; Chordata; Actinopteri; Mugiliformes; Mugilidae. The record is from RefSeq and is a predicted model, not a curated record.
GCCUUGCAGUUCUCCCGAACGUGCGUUCGGCUGUGUAGAAAGAGAGGAUGGAGAGAGGAGGGAAAAGCACAACGAGUACUCUCACACAGACCUGUGAAUGCAGAGUCUGAACUGGGCUGUUGGACACGAGCCAGUGCCAGCACAAAGAACUCUGUCACAUCCCCAAGUUUUAUGGGGGGGAAUAUAAUAUUCAUCUUGUGUGCUGUUGGAAUCAGCUGGCCUAUAGUGAGGAGAGCUACGUUUCAGUUUGUCGAGUAUGAGGCUACAACCAGGCUAAGCUACACGGACACAGUGGGAUCGACUCUUCUUCUCCUCCCAAAAGUAAUUAUUACAUGACAGGAAUGACUGUGCUUAAAAAAAAAAAAAGUCCAGAUUUCAAACAAACAAGAGCGAACGAGGAACUGCAGCAAAGAGAAAUCCAAGAUCUCAGACAACAGCCUGCUCUUGUUUGCAAAAAUGUAGUUGAAGAGAGCUUGGGGAAUAAAAGAGGGCUGUCUAAAAAUGCACUAGUCCUAAAUAGUUCUCUCAGCUCCGUGUAUUCCCACACAAAUUUGCAUAAAUUUCAUAGUCUAAGUCAUGGGCUGUGGCUGAAGCGUGUUAUUAGUCUAUCUUUAGGUGGUAGUACAGGCCGAUCACACUGAGGCUUGUUGUUAUCUCAUUGAAAGCACCCUGGUAUUACACCCGGCGGAUUGAGAGUGGGUCUUAAGAUCGUGGGAUUUGUUCACAUAUUAAAGCAUGUCUGUUUGGAUGCACCGAAAAGAAACAGGUGUUCAGUAUUUAUGUGUGUGUGUGGGAGAGGACUUGUGUGUGCGUCUUUGUGUUUUUCCCUGCGAUGUUUGUUCGAAAACGCACAUAGGAUGGGAACACGCUGUUCGUGCGUGCGUGUGUGUGUGUGUGUGUGUAUGACUUGACAGAGGGGUGGGGGUGCUUUAUUGAAAAGUACUCCUCUCCUCCCCUGUUCAACAUGCUGGAUUAGCACCAGCAGUUUCCCAUGGAGCCGUCCCUCCCAGCCCCCUGCCCAUUUGCAUAAGGCGCAGACAGGCGGAGAUGUGACAAACAAACCUGGCACACACAGCGCUGGCUGCCUUCUUUACAUGAACUC